Anolis carolinensis (green anole) is the source of this 2402-nucleotide long non-coding RNA. Lineage: Eukaryota; Metazoa; Chordata; Lepidosauria; Squamata; Anolidae. The record is from Ensembl.
AUGGCAGCUUACACACACACACACACAAGCGAAGUUCCCCCUCCCGGCGUCGCGAUGGGCAAGAUCAACAACAGCAGCGGCGCUGGAGCGAUGAGUCACAAGCCCAUCCUCGGCCACGGCAGCAAGAGAGGCUGCAGGACGCGCGCGGGACGAGGAGUGGGCGGAGCCUGGCCGUCCCACCAUCGAAUCCCGAGGCGUCAGACGCCUCCCCGGGUCCUAGCGCCCUUCUCUUCCCAGACAGAAAAGGCCGUGCCGCCGCGCGUCUUGCCCAACGGGACUUCCCUCCGCCCGUGUCUCAGGGACAAGCAGGAAAUUGAGCCUGAAGUGUGGAAUUGUACCCUCAAUGGCACCUUGAUGAUGUUGAAGCCGUGACAAUGAAAAAUACCUAACCAAAUUUCAAAGCAGUUUAAGUUGUUUCGUCUAAUGCAAUGACCCAGCAACCCCAAGAUGAAUUUGACAGCAGUGUGGAGCAGGCAUUAGACUGGAUGAAGACUAUCCAUGAGAGACUAAAAAUCAAUGACAAUACCAAAGGGCCCCGAUCUGCCUUGGAGGCUAGGCUGAGGGACACAGAGGUAAGAAAAAAGAUACUUCUGAUCCACUGUGUUUCCAGAUGUCAUUUUUUAAUAUUAUACAGGCAUGCCUCAGGUUGCAAAGCCUCUGACCACUAUUCUGUUUUUCAUAAAGUAAUUUUUUCAUAUAUAUUUUUGAAAAUACAUGAGGAAUGGGGAAGGGUACAAGAAUGGAUAUAGAACAGGAGCAUUUUAACAUCUCCGUCUUCUUCCAUUGUUAUCUAAUACAAAAAAGAUUUCUACGAUGUUAAAAAAGAAAAGAGGGAAAACAGAACAUUUAUUUUCUAAUCUAUAACAGAAGGAUAGAAAAGUGGGUGCACAGUAUUUUGAAACAAAGAAGAUAGAAAUGUUGAGAAAUGGAAAAUUGAAAGCCCUAACUAAUGCUUCCUACCCUGUCUCUGCUGUCUUUUUCAUAAUUUUUUUAAAAACUAUUUUUGUCAUAAAACACAAUCACAUCUCUGGGAAGAUUAUUCCUUAUUGCAUAUUGGAAUUGAGCCCUAAAGGGCCUUUCAAUUGGAGUCUAUGGUCUACCAAGGCUUCCAGCCACAUCCUCUGUUAUUGCCAUAGCAAAUUCCUGUACAGGUUUUUGAUAUUCCUCUCAAUCUCUUUGCGAAUAUUCUAAUCUUUGAAACUGGGUUGGAUCUCUUUGGAAAUCCAUUUGCAUCUUCUGUGCCUCUUCAAUUAUCUUAAUUUUCUGUUUUUGCUAUUCCUGUGGCUUCAAAAUACCACUCAAUGUGUCUGUCAUCAGUUGCAUAUCUUUCUUCAUCUUUUGUUGACCUUUAUCUAAAUAAUCUUCAGCCUGUGUCAAUCCUUACCUCCACAUUUUUCAUUCAAUCUGUAAUGGUUUUUAAUUGGGUCAAGAUUUCCCUCAUUGGAUUUUCUUCUUGUAGAACAUAUUCUCUCCCAGAAGCUUAUUUCUGGUUUUUGAAUCUUGGUCUUGUUGACAUUGCAGUAAUUUCUGUAGGCAAUUUGUCUUGAGAGCAUUUGUCAUUUGAACAUUGAAAGGGUCUAGAGAGCAUUUGUCGUAGUGCUUCCUUAGGCCACUUUCAUUUUUAGUACGCUGUUGUUUACAGCCCUUUUAGUUGUUUCCCUGUUUUCUAUAUUUCAAGCUGUAUUUCAAGCUCUAAGGUUUUCUAUAUGGUUCUAUCUCUAUGGUUCAUCUCUAUGGUUACUUCUUGUCUUAUUUCCUGUUUGGAAUCAGUCCAGAGGUUCCAGGUGGUCCCAGAAUGUUAUAGCUAUUGAGUUCUUAGGUAUAUUAAACAAUUUGCUUCUCACAGUUCUUAGAGCAUAACCUUUAACAAAUUAAUUCACUUUCACCUUUUGUAGUUGGUCUCACCAGAUAGUUUCAUGUGGCAGACUUAGAAAAUUCUUGAAGAAUAGUUCCACUAAUUAGAUUUUAAGCCCUUUUUAUCUCUUCAGUUUCCACUGGAGGAAAAAAGAAUGCAGUUACCUCUAAGAGAUGUUUUGUCUAUGAAGUUGGUUCUGUGGUGUUUUGCCUCAUUUAGUCAGAAUGCUGUGUCUGUUGGUUUUUGUUUCUGUUGAUUUUUUCCCCUUACCACAGUGAUUUUGGAUCUUAGUUUUAUUGUUGGUUCAUGUGCUUGUUAAGGAUUUUAAUUAUUGUAAAGCAACCCUGGGUAUUAACUUACUCAAAGGCUGGAGUAUAAAGGUUUGAUUUAGUAUUAACAAAGGAAUUGUUAGUACUUAUUCAGCAUAGUGCAAGCCGGGCUUUGAUCACUUAUUUUAGGGUUGCACUGGGAUUAAAAAUUGUCUGUUAUAAUAACCAUUAAGCAGGCAAGCAGAAGUACUCUUCAUUGGUCGCAUCCAUUGAAUUCC